ACCAACUACUUCUCUGACAGAGUUCAGUGUGUCAAAUCGGAGGGCCUACUGUCUGGACCUCUGGCAGUCUCUAUGGGGGUACCACAGGGUUCAAUUCUUGGGCCAACUCUUUUCUCUGUAUACAUAAAUGAUGUCGCUCUUGCUGCUGGUGAAUCUCUGAUCCACCUCUACGCAGACGACACCAUUCUGUAUACUUCUGGCCCUUCUUUGGACACUGUGUUAACAACCCUCCAGACGAGCUUCAAUGCCAUUCAACUCUCCUUCCGUGGUCUCCAACUGCUCCUAAACACAAGUAAAACUAAAUGCAUGCUCUUCAACCGAUCGCUGCCUGCACCUGCCCGCCCGUCCAGCAUAACUUCUCUGGACGGUUCUAACUUAGAAUUUGUGGACAACUACAAAUACCUAGGUGUCUGGUUAGACUGUAAACUCUCCUUCCAGACUCACAUCAAUCAUCUCCAAUCCAAAGUGAAAUCUAGAAUUGGCUUCCUAUUUCGCAACAAAGCAUCCUUCACUCAUGCUGCCAAACAUACCCUCGUAAAACUGACCAUCCUACCAAUCCUCGACUUCGGCGAUGUCAUUUACAAAAUAGCCUCCAAUACCCUACUCAACAAGCUGGAUGCAGUCUAUCACAGUGCCAUCCAUUUUCUCACCAAAGCCCCAUAUACUACCCACCACUGCGACCUGUACGCUCUCGUUGGCUGGCCUUCGCUUCAUAAUCGUCACCAAACACAUUGGCUCCAGGUCAUCUACAAGACCCUGCUAGGUAAAGUCCCCCCUUAUCUCCGCUCACUGGUCACCAUAGCAGCACCCACCUGUAGCACGCGCUCCAGCAGGUAUAUCUCUCUGGUCACCCCUAAAGCCAACUCCUCCUUUGGUCGUCUCUCCUUCCAGUUCUCUGCUGCCAAUGACUGGAACGAACUACAAAAAUCUUUGAAACUGGAAACACUUAUCUCCCUCACUAGCUUUAAGCACCAGCUGUCAGAGCAGCUCACAGAUCAUUGCACCUGUACAUAGCCCAUCUAUAAUUUAGCCCAAUCUACUACCUCUUCCCCUACUGUAUUUAUUUAUUUUAUUUAUUUUGCUCCUU
Salmo trutta (river trout) is the source of this 1087-nucleotide long non-coding RNA. NCBI's taxonomy places the organism in Eukaryota, Metazoa, Chordata, Actinopteri, Salmoniformes, Salmonidae. The record is from Ensembl.